Molecule: long non-coding RNA, 271 nt
Filed under: Eucalyptus grandis
Lineage: Eukaryota; Viridiplantae; Streptophyta; Magnoliopsida; Myrtales; Myrtaceae
Description: long non-coding RNA (EGRA_LNC001626)
Source: RNAcentral
GGAGGCUGCAACUAAUUUGGUGAAUCCGUCGACUAGGUCACCCCUGAAGUCUCAACAUAUGCACGCAACAGCUCCCCCGUGCUCAUCUGGUCCUCUACUCUCUCAGGAAUUUGAAGUAGUUGCGUCGUCUGGAGCAAAGGACGCAUUAAUGUUGAUUGUUUGCGAGUUUGGAGUCGAGGGUUGCCAUCGGUUGGGUUGAGUCGUGUUGUGUGGCUCUCCUUUUGAUUUUCGACGCCAUUUAGUGUAGUUUUCUUGUAGAGUGAUUGCCUUG